This 45-nucleotide non-coding RNA is filed under the name Schistosoma curassoni. The record is from RNAcentral. Lineage: Eukaryota; Metazoa; Platyhelminthes; Trematoda; Strigeidida; Schistosomatidae.
ACCCAGCUGACGAGUCUCAAACAGGACGAAACGCGCAUCCUGGAU